AAACCGUUCAGGGGUAAACCUAAGAAACCCAAAAGAUCGAACGGGGAGAUUCAUCGUCAGCGGCGCUGGCUUCGCGUCGGUGGGCGAUGUCCCGCGGGGCCCUCCGGGGCUCUCUCGCGCGGGCACGCUACCGUGCGUCGACGUCCGGCGUUCGUAGUCGUGCACUUCUCCCCUAGUAGAACGUCGCGACCCGCUGGAUGUCGGUCUACGGCUCGGGUGCGGUGACUGCCGCGUCGCCGGUAAAACGGCACGCGCGCAAACCCCCGUUCGCCCGGCCGGCUGUCCGGCGGUACACGCAAGGUAUCAGGCCGCAAAAUUUGAACGAUGCGUCGAGGCCGUCGCAAGCGCGCGCCACGGUUACUCGGAGGUUACGGACCUAGCGCCGUCCCCGGUCCUGGCCCGCUGUUGGUAGUACGGUUCGCCUUCGACAGGCCCGCGAACGUCCCACCCCCCGAUAAAAAGGGGGGACCCAUGGGACCGAUACCGGUCGGCGACGCUACUGCUUUGGGUACUCUUAGGA
RNAcentral lists this ribosomal RNA (520 nucleotides) under Rhytidoponera confusa. RNAcentral's name for it is "eukaryotic LSU rRNA". The record is from RNAcentral. Lineage: Eukaryota; Metazoa; Arthropoda; Insecta; Hymenoptera; Formicidae.